RNAcentral lists this ribosomal RNA (253 nucleotides) under uncultured bacterium. Its description in RNAcentral is "partial 16S ribosomal RNA". It matches the Rfam family "Bacterial small subunit ribosomal RNA", at positions 524 to 776 of the family's 1533-position model. The record is from RNAcentral.
UACGGGGGGGGCAAGCGUUGUUCGGAAUUACUGGGCGUAAAGGGCUCGUAGGCGGCCAACUAAGUCAGACGUGAAAUCCCUCGGCUUAACCGGGGAACUGCAUCUGAUACUGGAUGGCUUGAGUUCGGGAGAGGGAUGCGGAAUUCCAGGUGUAGCGGUGAAAUGCGUAGAUAUUACCAGGAACACCAAUGGCGAAGGCAGCUUGCUGGGCCAUAUCUGACGCUGAGACACGAAAGCGUGGGGAGCGAACAGG